GAAUCCCGUCUUUGACACGGACUGCCUGUACAUUAUGGUGUGCUCUCGAAGAGUCGAGUUGUUUGGGAAUGCAGCUCAAAAUGGGUGGUAAAUGCCAUCUAAAGCUAAAUAUUGGCGAGAGACCGAUAGCGAACAAGUACCGUGAGGGAAAGAUGAAAAGAACUUUGGAAAGAGAGUUAAACAGUACGUGAAAUUGCUGAAAGGGAAACGCUUGAAGUCAGUCGCGUUGGCUAGAAAUCAACCUUGCUUUUGCUUUGUGUACUUUCUGGUUGACGGGUCAGCAUCAAUUUUGACCACUGGAUAAAGUCUUUGGGAAUGUGGCAUCUCCGGAUGUGUUAUAGCCCAUUGUCGCAUACGGUGGUUGGGAUUGAGGAACUCAGCACGCCGCAAGGCCGGGUUUCGACCACGUUCGUGCUUAGGAUGCUGGCAUAAUGGCUUUAAUCGACCCGUCUUGAAACACGGACCAAGGAGUCUAACAUGCCUGCGAGUGUUUGGGUGGAAAAACCCAUGCGCGCAAUGAAAGUGAAAGUUGAGAUCCUCUUCAAAGGGGGAGCAUUGACGCCCGGACCAGACCUUUUGUGACGGAUCCGCGGUAGAGCAUGCAUGUUGGGACCCGAAAGAUGGUGAACUAUGCCUGAAUAGGGUGAAGCCAGAGGAAACUCUGGUGGAGGCUCGUAGCGAUUCUGACGUGCAAAUCGAUCGUCAAAUUUGGGUAUAGGGGCGAAAGACUAAUCGAACCAUCUAGUAGCUGGUUCCUGCC
Molecule: ribosomal RNA, 760 nt
Filed under: uncultured Inocybe
Lineage: Eukaryota; Fungi; Basidiomycota; Agaricomycetes; Agaricales; Cortinariaceae
Description: partial 28S ribosomal RNA
Rfam family: Eukaryotic large subunit ribosomal RNA
Source: RNAcentral